Molecule: ribosomal RNA, 496 nt
Filed under: uncultured bacterium
Lineage: Bacteria
Description: partial 16S ribosomal RNA
Rfam family: Bacterial small subunit ribosomal RNA
Source: RNAcentral
ACGAACGCUGGCGGCGUGCCUAAUACAUGCAAGUAGAACGCUGAAGGGAGGAGCUUGCUCUUCUUGGAUGAGUUGCGAACGGGUGAGUAACGCGUAGGUAACCUGCCUUGUAGCGGGGGAUAACUAUUGGAAACGAUAGCUAAUACCGCAUAACAAUGGAUGACACAUGUCAUUUAUUUGAAAGGGGCAAUUGCUCCACUACAAGAUGGACCUGCGUUGUAUUAGCUAGUAGGUGAGGUAAUGGCUCACCUAGGCGACGAUACAUAGCCGACCUGAGAGGGUGAUCGGCCACACUGGGACUGGGACACGGCCCAGACUCCUACGGGAGGCAGCAGUAGGGAAUCUUCGGCAAUGGGGGCAACCCUGACCGAGCAACGCCGCGUGAGUGAAGAAGGUUUUCGGAUCGUAAAGCUCUGUUGUAAGUCAAGAACGGGUGUGAGAGUGGAAAGUUCACACUGUGACGGUAGCUUACCAGAAAGGGACGGCUAACUACGUG